This is a small nuclear RNA of Jaculus jaculus (lesser Egyptian jerboa), 107 nucleotides long. The record is from Ensembl. NCBI's taxonomy places the organism in Eukaryota, Metazoa, Chordata, Mammalia, Rodentia, Dipodidae.
GUGCUCACUUCAGCAGCACAUAUACUAAAAUUGCAAUGAUGCAGAGAAGAUUAGCAUGGCCCCUGCACAAGGAUGACUCACAGAUUCGCGAAGCAUUCCAUAUUUUU